UCUACCACCUAACAAGCAUCAUCCUCCGUGCAACACAACCUUGGGACCUCCAUCUUCCUAGAACAACAACAACAAUGAUUUUGUAUGUGACCUCGCAACCACCGCCUAUUUUUCCACCGCCAUUAAAAAGCUCUGGCCUCCAUCUCGUUUCUCUUCCGUUUGGUAAAUUUAUUUUUUUAUCGUUUUGAUUCAUGAUGAAUUUGUGUGUUUAUUGAUGGAUUUGUGAGAUUUUUAUGUAAAGCUUGUUU
RNAcentral lists this long non-coding RNA (248 nucleotides) under Lathyrus oleraceus (garden pea). Its description in RNAcentral is "Pisum sativum (pea) long non-coding RNA (PSAT_LNC011259)". Lineage: Eukaryota; Viridiplantae; Streptophyta; Magnoliopsida; Fabales; Fabaceae. The record is from RNAcentral.